Grus americana (Whooping crane) is the source of this 3509-nucleotide long non-coding RNA. RefSeq lists it as uncharacterized. The record is from RefSeq and is a predicted model, not a curated record. The transcript is spliced from 2 exons. Lineage: Eukaryota; Metazoa; Chordata; Aves; Gruiformes; Gruidae.
UAACUGACAGCUAGUCAUCCGGCACAAGCCACUGUGUGUUUCUGCAUCUCUGCCAUCUGCCAUGGUUGCCCUCUUCCCUGCCUACUCGUGAUAGAAGAAUUGUCUUUCUCCAUCCUGCUAAGCUUCCUGGACAACUGAUCCCCCUUCUGCCACUGCUGGACCAGUGUCACAAGGCUGCCGAGAAGACAUGACCAGGAGGGGAUGGGUGUAAGCGCUGACCUCCCUGCAGCAUCCACAUCACCCACUGACGCUUCGGCGUAGCUCCUCACUCAGAAAUCUCUCUUGAUUCUAAUAAAGAAACCAAAACAAAGUGAGGUUUGAAGAAACUGUGAUCUGUCUUAUGGAUGCUAUUCAUACUUUGGUUUAACAAUCCAGCACAGAAGAGAGCAGCAUGACUCGAGCCAAGGAGAAGAGUAGAGGGAGUGAAUAACGACAGCACAAAUCAGCAGUAAAGAAGCAGUCUGCUGCAGCACCUGUACAGAAAGCCCGAGGCCAGCGAGGAAAGUGGCAGAAAGAUUGCACUGGGAAAUGGCAUGGGGAGCACCAUAUGCACCGAGCACCGAAAGGCUGACAGCAGCAUUUUAAGCUAUCCUAAAGAUGGGGGAAAUGUCUCUGUCCUUGAGUAAGGGCAAAGAGAGAGAGGAAAUUUUGAAGAUGGACAGUUUAAGACCAUACUUUUCACGUUAGGCAAGUGCAGCUCUGCUUUUUAUUUAAAAUACGGUGUGUUGAUGCUAAUGAGGCUCUGUGGCUGUCCACAGGGAUGCGGUGUGCAGGUAGGAAUCUAGCACGGCUGUUGGGUAUUUCUUUAGAUGAGAAAUAGGUACUGAUAUGGUUGCAUGAAGUUUACAAUAAAAAGCAAUGCAUUAGUCAAUCCAGCAAAUUAACCACUUUGAAUGCAAAUUAGGGAUAGCUUCUGUUUUGCUUUGUUGGCUGUGUUCUUGUUUUAGGUAGGGUUUGGUGCAGAAAUUGUAUAAAGCAGGAAUAUAGUUGAAUAAAAUUCUCAAAAUAGCCUCUGCUACUACUAUUAGGAUGUUUAAAAUCUAUGUAAUGCUAGAUUGUUCUACUAAAUGUAUUUUCUUCCUAAUUUUGAAUUUCCCUAAUCUGCUGAAUCUGUUCCACUUGGGAUAAAGUAGAAAAAAAUGUAUUGUGUGAAAUCAAAACAGGUCGUUAAAGUCAUCCCACGGGAUGCGGGGUUACAGUCUCUUAACCAAAGCAGGCAGAGAAUACACUAUUGUCUUUUCUGUGGGGUUUUUUUCCCCUACUUUUUGUUUUAAAUGAAUACUACUGGAAGAUGAAGGAUGGGCAACUUACUUGACUUGCUGUGGUACCUAAGUCAGGGAGAGAAUUCAUGGCAGAGGGUCCCGGAGAUGUUGGACGGAUAACCUCCUGGUCAGAGAUGGCAGCUUCCCAGGAUUUUGGGCUGGAUGAACUUUCUUCCUCCUUCAGGUCUCUUCCUUUAACGAGAACAUAAAAUGAGGUCUCUUGAAUGACCUCAGUGUUUGGUUUCUGGUUUUGCUUGCUCAAUAUAUUAUGCUGUGAGCUUAGAGCCGACAGUCAGCGUGAGUUUGCUGUUGACAUCCGUGGGGGUGGGAAGCAGCCCGGCACCCCUGACGUUGAGGGAUUGGCAUCCCGGGGCCGGGCAGGAUGUGAGGGCUCGGCUGGAAGAGCUCUACCAGAGUCCCACAGCUUUACAAUCCACGUCCUGCUGGCUGCAAGAUGUUAUUUGCAUACAUCUCCUUUUCUCCUUACCUAAAUGUGAACGCAUGCAGAUCAAUCAACGGAGCCUGAAAACCUUCCUGGUUCUUUUAUGAACAUUCUGCUUCAUUAUUCCUUUCAUGUGUUUUGCACAGAACAAGCCAACGCCAAGAAAGUAACUUAUUGUGGAUGAUCAGAAACACCUUUUUUUUCCAAACACCUUGGUUUUUCAAAAGGCAGUACCCAUAAAUUGAAGGCUGUCUGUACACAGCGUUGCCAUUUUCCAUAUAUAACCAAGGUGUCGUGCAGCUCAUUAUUUCAUCAUGUUUAGGAAAAAAAAUCAGUGUCAACAACCAAGGCUUCUGACUGUCAUUGCUUUUAUUAAAAGCAAAAACGUUUGAUCUUUUGAAGAAUGAAAAAAAUCAGCUCCUGUAUUUUUUAAAGCACUUUGCACUUGGUCUUAUCUAAAAGCAUCAAAAAGUGAAAAAUCUAAUGUGACAUUAUACAUUCUAGUGGCCCCUAAUAGCCAGUCACUCUACCAAUUUUUCUAAGUUUAUCUUUAAUCUACUACUCCCAAACUAAUUAAGGACUGAAUGCCUUUGGACUGAUUUUCAUUUUGUCUUGAGUUAUUGUGACAUCUUUACUACAGAUUCUUUUUCAGUCUAAUUAAAUUCCUGCAGCAUAAAUGUCAUUAUUAAUAUCAUCACCUUUGGUAGACUAACUUUGCCUUGGUCUCCUGAUGACUGUGCAUUGUAGACUAACUCCCUUUCUUCCUGGUUAAUAUUUGAAAAGUUUGGCUUGAAGUAAGAACAUCUCGAGGCUUAGCAGAGACAGAGAAUCCAUUAAUAUAAACAUAGUAAUUCAAAUUGAUGGGGUUUUAUUAAAAAAAAUCCAAUAGUUAUGCUAUUGUAUUAGUUUUCAGAAGAAUAUUCCAAAACUCAUUUAAAACUUUUCUUUUUAUCUUCAAAAAUCAUUCCUGGAUGCUAAGAAUUCUAAUAAUUUGAGGAUUAGAAGUAAUUCUCGCUUGUAAGGCAAAAAUUUCCAAUGAAAGCAUUAAUGCAGGUGGAAGGGAAACUCACUAAAAGAAUGUGUGUGGGGCAGCAGAGGACUGCCAAAAAACGAAUAUUCGUUUCCUCAACCCAAAAGAAGCUUUUCUGUGGGCUCUCUGCAGGGGACAGGACACCAUCCAGGAAUGGUGGGAGCUCACCAGUCGGUGAGUCCUUUUUUCCUUAGCAGGUAAAUAUAAAAAAGAACUACCAUGAAAAAAAGAAUUUGUGUGAGAAUUUCAUCCUCUCUCCAUUAGUUGGGCUAACAUUAUCGGUGUGGUUUAACCCGGCCAGCAGCUAAAACAACCACACAGCCCUUCGCUCGCUGCCGCCCACCCCCCGCAGUGGGAUGGGGGAGGGAAUAGGAAAAAAAUGGUAAAACUUGUGGGCUGAGAUAAAGAUGGCGUCAUAGGACAGAAAAGGAAGGGGGAAACAUAAAAUAACAAUAAUAGAAUAUACAAAACAAGCGAUGCACUAUGCAGUUGCUCACCACCCGCUGACCAAUGCCCAGCCCGUUCCCGAGCAGCGGCUGCUGCCCCCACUGCCCACUCCCCCCCACGUGGUUUUUUUGUUCAGCAUGACGUCAUACGGUACAGAACAUCCCUGUGGGCAGUUGGGUCAGCUGCCCUGGCCGUGUUCCCUCCCGGCUUCUUGUGCCCCCCACCUCCUCGCUGGCAGGGCAGGGUGAGAGGCUGCAAAGUCCUUGACUGCUUGGCAACAACUAAAGCACCCGUGUGUUAUCAAUGUUAUUCUCACCCUAAAUCCAAA